CUGGUUCCGAGGCGGCCUCUCCUCCAGGUGCGCCGCUGUGACCUGCGGAGCGGCAGACAGACGCCGAGACAGGGGCCCACCUGUCUGGAGAUGGACUUGAGGAAUUCUGCUCUCUCCAGCCCAGACGUUCCCCCUGCUGCUACCGCCUCUGCGUUCUUUCCUGAUGACGCCCGUGUCAGUACUUGGAUCUCAAGACUUGCUGCCUGGGACUGUAGCAGGCCCCGUCCAGCCUGGGGCGCCCAGGCCUGCCUCCCCAACUCCCGCCCCAGGGGGAAUAGCCAGGUGGGAAGUGCAGUGACAGGAGCCCCUCUCUUCUGCUUCUGGCCUCGUCCUAACUGAACCGGGACACACAUACACAUGCACGCGCACACACACACACACUGCAGAUGUCCAGAGAAAUGAGGAAGGGACACACACACGCACACACCCUUGCAGAUGCCCGGAGAAAGAAGGAGGGGACUCUGAGGAAAGGUGGGGUGGCACCUCCGUUUUCUGGGAGACACUCAGGGGGAGGGAAGGCAGGUGCAGACCUGGGCUGAAGGUUGCAGUGGCGGGCUCUUGGCUGGGCAGGGCUUGGGCUGCCACUGGCUGAAGGGCCGUGAAGGCUGGGCGCCCUCUACCCUUCUCCAUGCCUCUGUGUCCUCCUCCUGCUCCCUGAAACGUGGGCUCAGGGGCUGUGGUAGAGCAAUGCACAUGGUCCCUUCCAGACCCAGGAUGCUCUGAGUCCGCACUGUCCACCAGAAUGGAGUGACAAGGGGUCUUUCUUAGGAACACCAUUUGGCCUGACUGGGGGCCUUUCCAGACUGGUGGCUGCUGCCUUUCCCAGAAUCCAGGUGAACUUAGAGCACAGAACUCUUCCCUCCUGAGCCCCAGCCUUCUCACAGCCUUACUCACUCUUGGCCUCUCAGCCUCUCGAAAGGGUCCAAAUCAACCCUAGUUUUUUGAGGUCUGGGUGAUAGAGGUAGGGACAGAGGCAGGGUAGGCUAUGUAAUUUGUGGCACCCCAUGUAAAAUGACAGUACAAGUCCAUUUGUUCAAAAAGUAAGGAAAAGAGUGCUAUUAAAGGUAUUAAAAUAUAAA
Capra hircus (goat) is the source of this 1079-nucleotide long non-coding RNA. RefSeq lists it as uncharacterized. The transcript is spliced from 2 exons. The record is from RefSeq and is a predicted model, not a curated record. NCBI's taxonomy places the organism in Eukaryota, Metazoa, Chordata, Mammalia, Artiodactyla, Bovidae.